GCCAGCUGCAUGAGAGCAGGAAUUGGUCUUGUUCAGCACUGGGAAAAGUACCUGGCACACAUUGGUGACCAAUAAGUAUUGUUGAAAGGACAGAUGAGGCAAGGAAUGAGAAGUAUCUGGACGGAAGUCAUCUUUAUCCACGCUGCCUGCACCACCCCCAGGCCAACUCUGUGUAACUGGUGAUAAAUAUCCAAGUGGACUUGAGAGAACUUGGAAUGCAAUGCCGCCUGCUUCCUGCUCCCGUGGGACCCACGUGACUCUCAUCCCAGAGGAGACACCUGUGCCUCCAACCCGGUGGCUUGCCUCCUCGUCCCUCAGGAUGUAACGACAACGACAAGUUUACUGUGUGAGGUCCCAGGCCGAGCGCCAACGCUGAAUGGUUCAUUCAGACCUCACAUUGUCUGGCACAUUUUCAAGCAUUCUUCCCCGUGUUUUGUAGACAAGAAAACCAAGGCUCCCUGAGGGCCAGGUUAAGUAACUUGUCCAGCUGCUCGCCACGGCGCAAAGAUGAAGCUGAGUUUUGAAAUACCACAUCAUGCGGUAUUUAGAGAAGAAGAUUGAAAAGACUUUUCAGAAGAGGUGGGGAGGGACAAUUUUGACAUUAUCUUUUUUCUCCUUAUCAUAUAAGCAAUGCAUGCUCAUUGUUUGUUUAAUUAAGAAAAAGUCAGAGUUUGAAAAGACAUUAGCAGAGGAGUGGUGGUGAGGUUUCCCCUCAUCUGCCUGUUUCUUUCUAAGAACUAAGGGAAAUGACUGAGCCCUCAGAGGGGAGGGAGGGAGGAGAGAAUGUCCUGGCAUUAAAUCUGAGCGGAGAACAUCGUAACCCUGCAGGGGAGGUGUCCAUCCAUGUGCCGUGCUUCCACACAAGCUUGCAAAGCAUCGGAACCCGUGUUCAUGAUUGGUGGCAGUGGGUCUGAAACAAGCCUGAUUCUCUGGAUUUCUGCAUUUCGGGUGGCCAGGCUCUCUGCACAGCUGUGACAGUGACCCUCCCCCUGACUCAGCUCUGUCUUCCCACAUUUAGCCCAGUUUUAGCGGAAAUCCCCCACCCUCGAUGUUGUCACCUCAGCCUCACUUUAGCAAGAAUCCCGUGGAGUUGGUCUAGCAAGAACGCCCCCAGUCUUGUGUUUCCUCCUAGUAACUUCCCAUCCAUCACCACCCAAUACACACCCUACUCCUUGGCUCUGAAUCCCCACUUGUCCUUAUUGUGUUCAGAGCUGAGCCUCUCAGUCUCUCCCCGCUACUGCAAAACCCCAGUGCUGUGGCCCCUACGCUUGUCAGGAUGGCCCCUGAAUAAAAUCUGCCUUACGGUUCUUUAAUGAGGGUCAUGAAUAUUAUUUUCUUCAACAACUGU
This 1348-nucleotide long non-coding RNA is filed under the name Equus caballus (horse). Its description in RNAcentral is "lncRNA (ENSECAG00000051831.1)". The record is from RNAcentral. Lineage: Eukaryota; Metazoa; Chordata; Mammalia; Perissodactyla; Equidae.